ACAGCAAGUAGUCAGAGCCCGUUAAUGGGUGAUGGCGUGCCUUUUGUAGAAUGAACCGGCGAGUUACGAUUUGAUGCAAGGUUAAGCAGUAAAUGUGGAGCCGUAGCGAAAGCGAGUCUGAAUAGGGCUUUUAGUAUUUGGUCGUAGACCCGAAACCAGGUGAUCUACCCUUGGUCAGGUUGAAGUUCAGGUAACACUGAAUGGAGGACCGAACCGACUUACGUUGAAAAGUGAGCGGAUGAACUGAGGGUAGCGGAGAAAUUCCAAUCGAACCUGGAGAUAGCUGGUUCUCUCCGAAAUAGCUUUAGGGCUAGCCUCAAGUGAUGAUUAUUGGAGGUAGAGCACUGUUUGGACGAGGGGCCCCUCUCGGGUUACCGAAUUCAGACAAACUCCGAAUGCCAAUUAAUUUAACUUGGGAGUCAGAACAUGGGUGAUAAGGUCCGUGUUCGAAAGGGAAACAGCCCAGACCACCAGCUAAGGUCCCAAAAUAUAUGUUAAGUGGAAAAGGAUGUGGCGUUGCCCAGACAACUAGGAUGUUGGCU
Molecule: ribosomal RNA, 542 nt
Filed under: Staphylococcus aureus
Lineage: Bacteria; Bacillati; Bacillota; Bacilli; Caryophanales; Staphylococcaceae
Description: partial 23S ribosomal RNA
Rfam family: Bacterial large subunit ribosomal RNA
Source: RNAcentral